This is a long non-coding RNA of Formica exsecta, 3678 nucleotides long. RefSeq lists it as uncharacterized. NCBI's taxonomy places the organism in Eukaryota, Metazoa, Arthropoda, Insecta, Hymenoptera, Formicidae. The transcript has 2 exons. The record is from RefSeq and is a predicted model, not a curated record.
ACGGUGGAGCCCGAACACGUGCAUAAAACUCGACACGGAGCCUAGUUAGGGUUAGUUUGCGACCGGACGAGCGACUGUGCGCUUGCGUGACCCUCGGAGGGCUCCUCUCCUCUCUUUCUCUCGCUUCGUCAUCAAGGGUGUCGCGUUACGCUCUCCUCUUCCCAUCCCGCGCGGUGCGCCCGCUCGCAAGCAGCAAGCAUGAACCGAACCUCCGAGGGUCCCGCGACCUUCAGCCCGGUUUUCCCGAAUCGGGACCGCGCCAGAUUGAAGUCUCUCAUCCGGCACGCAACGAUCAUCCGCCGUUACGAGAAUCGCCGAGGAUCACGGAUCCAAAGAAUGGAUGAACGGAGGAGCGAAAGAAACGAGAGGUACGAGGUACUGUUGAACACUUGCUGGAAGGAACAUCUCCGAAAAGGAUGAAGAUUGUUCUUAGGAUCGUUCGUCCUCGGUGAAUCGCUGAUUCGGAGAUAAAGAGACGAGGGAGGACGGAAGAUGGCAAGACAACCACAGUAAGUACAUGAUAAUCGAACACCAUGUAUGAUCCAUGUAAUAUCGUCGUGGAAACCUUGAGUAAAAAAUACCAUCAGCUAACAUCGAUGAAUAUCAAUAUCGUCAUUGACGUAUUAUAAAAACGUCAUUGUGGUUGUCGGCUUCUUGACCUCGUCCUUCAUUUCUACAACAUACGAACCAACAGUACAGAAACAGGAAGUUGCAAGGCGAACAAAAUAAAUCUUAAAUUAACUACGUACCGAUAACAAGUAGAAAUGAAAAAAUGAGAGAGAAAGAGAGAGAGAGACAUAGAGUACUGAUACUCAAAGUACAACCAGUAUUCAAAAGACGCUCGGUGAAGAUAAAUGACCGCAUUUUGCGGUAAUAGAAAAUUUUCAUUCCUGCAUACUUCUGCAUUAAACAGCAUCAAAAAUUAUCGAAGAGGAUAAUCACCGGUGUGAUUAUGGCAACAACAAGAUGAAUAGAUAUCCAAAGACAUCAAUUAUUACACAAUAUUCCGAUUCUUAAUAUUUUUUCAUUAUGCAUAUUGAUGAGAAUGUUUUCACAAGCGUCUGAAUCAAAGAUAUCAAUAACGUGAAUAAUAUUCCAAGAAAAACUUGACAAUAAGAAUAUAUAUAUAUUAACAGAUCUUUAAACCGAUCGCAAUACAAUCUCUGGUGUCAGUCAAAAUGUACAUUUUUUGGCAAUCAAGCAUGCCACAAUUUUCGACACUUAUGAUGCAGCAUAUUGAUAAUCGGAUCUAAUAUAAGUUCAUCAUACGAGAAACUAUUCGGAUUAGAUCCGAGAAGAAUCGCGUUGCUGUGUCAUAUCAUCUACUUUCAAUGACUACAACGAUUAUGAUGAUAACAACGAUCACCGGUGGAAGACAUCUCUAACUGAAUGCAAUCUUUUAAGAUAAUAUGGUAUGUCAUAAUCCAUUUUAAUACUCGGAAAAAUAUUUCACCAACUCGCGAUAAUGCAAUUUUAAUUGAAUAAUGUAAAUAAUAUAAAUAUUUAAUAGUGUACGAGAAUAUCUAUAUUCAUAUAUGUAUAAGUUACUUUAUAUUCGUUAAUAAGUAUCCACAUAAAUUACGUUAAUUAUAGUCUAGCAAAAAUUAAGAAGACUGAAGUAAAUCAAAACAAAAAGAAAAAGGCUCAUUAGAAUUUAAACGCGUAUACGUAGUAGAAUUAUAGUCUAUUGAUAAAAAUUUUAAACAUUUUGAUUUUAAUUUAAAUUUUAAAUCUUGCUUUUCCAUACAUAUAUCAGUUUCUUAAAUUUCAACUUUAUCUUGAAAAAAAAAGGAGAAAAAGUUUAAAAAAAAAAAGAGAAAAGAAGGGAGAAGAAGAGAAAAGGAGAAAGAGAAGAAAUGAGAAAUAGAGAAACGUUACAAGAUGCAUAUAAACUACUAUAUAACUCUUGCUAAGAUUUUUAUCAUAGAACUGCAUUUGCAUCCGCGUUCAGAUUCUGCUUUGACAUUGACUGCUCUUUUCUUUUUGUUUUGAUUAAUAAUAGUCUAUAUAUAUGCAUUAUUGCGAGUUAAAAGUCAAAUCUUCCGCGAACGCAUUUCUCUCUUAAUAAAAGAAUUAAAUUAUAAUUUAUAUGUAAAAAAGGUUUUACUCUUUUUAUUUGAAUUUUAAAAGGAUUAUUUGUGACGAAAAUGCUUAGUUGCACAUAACAAUGAAAAUUUUCGCAGCCGAGCGUUUCCAAGAUUUAAGUCAUGAUUUUAAUAUAAUUUAGUUUAAGCCGACAGUAGUGAGAUUAAUUUAAAGUUAUAGUUAUUUAUAAAUCAUUGACAAUAUUAAGUAAAAAUUAGUAACUUUCAAUGUGCAAGAGCUAUAAAAAGUACAAUAUAAAAUCAAAUUUAAUAUUCAUAAUUAACUUCAUAUCUAGUCAACUAUAUUUAAUAUUUAAGUUUAUUUAAAGUCAUAACUUUUAAUAUGGAGUUAUACAUUUUAAGUCAUAAUUCCUUUUAUCCAAGUUAUAUUAAUAAAAUCCAAUGGAGAAAGAUGAUUUUAAUUUCUAAUAUCUAUUAGGGAUAUGUGCCAUAUAGAAAAAAAAUAUAUAAUACAAUAAACAAGAUUCUAGUCAAAUAUAGUUUAAUUCAUAGAAUAUAUCAAGAGAUCUAGUCAGAACUAUAUAAUACUAUGACGGUACUAAUUUAAACCAAAAUUUAAUUUUUUUUUUUUUUUUACAAAGACCAUGACAAUCACAUGUUUCAAAAUAUUAAUAUAAAAAAAAAUGCAAAUUUAAAGUUCUUGAAAUAUUUCCCUUAAAUAUCUCUCUUAAUUUUUUUUUUAAUUUUAGUGUCAUAAGUUUUUAAAUUUGAUCUGAUGCAAACCGUACGUAAACAUUCCUUUAUUAUAGAAUAAAAUUAGAAUUAGAAUUCUUUAAAAUUAACAAGAGUAAAUUAAAAUUGAAUUAGUAUAUGUAUAUAAAAAUUCUCUUUCACAUAUCUUUAUAAUUUAUAACCAUUUAUAAUAUAUAACUUUUUGUAAAGUAGAGUAAUUUUGCUGAGUAUCUGUAUCACUUUAUCUAUAAUCUUUAUAAUCCCGGUUUUUAUUAUAUAAUUAUUUAUAGUUUCAAAUCACACAUAUUUAUGGUCAGUUAUUUAAUUGAUUGACCUAAAUAAUUAAGAGCAAUUUCAUAUUCGAUACAGGAUAUGCAGGCCAUUGAUAAAUGCAAUCUUUUAUUAAAUUCUAAAGCGCGCGAUUACAUCUUGCGUAACAUAUCACAAUUAUUAUAUUAUCAAUAUUAUUCUUACAGUUAUACUGAUAGUGUAUAUCAGAUGUGUGAAAUCCGUGGAUGCGAUGCCAUAUAAAACUUAUGCCAAAUAAGAGAAUGCUAGUCAUUUCUUUAGAUAAUCGCAUAUAACUUAAUGCCUUUGGAAGCAUACAUUGUACAGUUCUCAUAUUUCAAUUUAAUCAUAAUAAUUUUGCAAAUCUAGUCAAUUCUAGCCAUUAGCAUUAUUUUAAAGAAUUUUAAUAAUUAAGUAAAAUAAUCUUAAUUUAAAAGAAAAAUAAUAAGUUUAAGCUAAUUAUUAUAACUUGAAUAAUUGUAAGUAUGAUAUAUUUUGGGAAACGUGCCAGUAUAUACCUACAUUAUUUGAAAUUAAUAUUUUUAAAAGUGCAAAAAUUUAAUAAUUAAGAUGCAAUUCUUUUCCUAUUCUUCUUAUAAAAAAAAAAAAAAAA